Molecule: ribosomal RNA, 489 nt
Filed under: uncultured bacterium
Lineage: Bacteria
Description: partial 16S ribosomal RNA
Rfam family: Bacterial small subunit ribosomal RNA
Source: RNAcentral
GAUGAACGCUGGCGGCGUGCUUAACACAUGCAAGUCGAACGGAAAGGCCUGUACUUGUACAGGUACUCGAGUGGUGAACGGGUGAGUAACACGUGGGUGAUCUGCCCUGCACUGUGGGAUAAGCCCGGGAAACUGGGUCUAAUACCAUAUAGGACCACUUCUUGGAUGUUGUGGUGGAAAGCUUUUGCGGUGUGGGAUGAGCCUGCGGCCUAUCAGCUUGUUGGUGGGGUAAUGGCCUACCAAGGCGGCGACGGGUAUCCGGCCUGAGAGGGUGUACGGACACAUUGGGACUGAGAUACGGCCCAGACUCCUACGGGAGGCAGCAGUGGGGAAUAUUGCACAAUGGGCGCAAGCCUGAUGCAGCGACGCCGCGUGGGGGAUGACGGCCUUCGGGUUGUAAACUCCUUUCACUAUCGACGAAGCCACCUUGGGUGGUGACGGUAGGUAGAUAAGAAGCACCGGCUAACUACGUGCCAGCCGCCGCGGUAA